This 253-nucleotide ribosomal RNA is filed under the name uncultured bacterium. Its description in RNAcentral is "partial 16S ribosomal RNA". It matches the Rfam family "Bacterial small subunit ribosomal RNA", at positions 524 to 776 of the family's 1533-position model. The record is from RNAcentral.
UACGAAGGGGGCUAGCGUUGCUCGGAAUCACUGGGCGUAAAGGGUGCGUAGGCGGGUCUUUAAGGCAGGGGUGAAAUCCUGGAGCUCAACUCCAGAACUGCCUUUGAUACUGAAGAUCUUGAGUUCGGGAGAGGUGAGUGGAACUCCGAGUGUAGAGGUGAAAUUCGUAGAUAUUCGCAAGAACACCAGUGGCGAAGGCGGCUCACUGGCCCGAUACUGACGCUGAGGUGCGAAAGCGUGGGGAGCAAACAGG